CCAAAUACUGAGCACUUCCUUAGAGGUGAUCUGAAGGCCAGCUGACAUCAACACCUCCUUGACUUUAAUUCCCAUUGAUCUCAUGUCAUCCAGUCCCAUACAGGCAAGGGUUAGAUCAGCUGACUACUGGAUUUCCCGUGCUGUACCAACGCAGUGUGACCUCAAUCACAGUUCCAUUCACCAUUGUUAGAUGGGCCAUGCACAACAAAUCCUGGGACUUCUUGUACACCUUGGAGAUAAGCUUGCAGAAUUGUUAUUCAGUCUGGGAAAAUCAGACCCACUAUUCAACAAACAAACAAGACAGCACACUUAACUGCAUUCAUAUGGACUCUGCGACGGAUUCGUUGUCAUGUUUAAGCUGAGCUAUUUCAUUUCCUGAGGCCUUCUCCCCAGGGAUCCUACUCCCCAAGCCAUUUUCUCAGAGCUCUGCCUGUAUUUUGAAAAUAAAUCUGCUGGGAUAAGAACUAAGAAAAUGAAA
RNAcentral lists this long non-coding RNA (478 nucleotides) under Chrysemys picta bellii (western painted turtle). RNAcentral's name for it is "lncRNA (ENSCPBG00000027672.1)". The record is from RNAcentral. Lineage: Eukaryota; Metazoa; Chordata; Testudines; Emydidae.